GCGGUGGUAGUCUAGCCUGGUCUAGGACACCGGCCUUCCAAGCCGUGACCCGGGUUCAAAUCCCGGCCACCGCACCA
This 77-nucleotide transfer RNA is filed under the name Thermococcus piezophilus. Its description in RNAcentral is "tRNA-Gly". It matches the Rfam family "tRNA". Rfam says of the family: Transfer RNA (tRNA) molecules are approximately 80 nucleotides in length. Their secondary structure includes four short double-helical elements and three loops (D, anti-codon, and T loops). The record is from RNAcentral. Lineage: Archaea; Methanobacteriati; Methanobacteriota; Thermococci; Thermococcales; Thermococcaceae.